RNAcentral lists this ribosomal RNA (460 nucleotides) under uncultured bacterium. Its description in RNAcentral is "partial 16S ribosomal RNA". It matches the Rfam family "Bacterial small subunit ribosomal RNA", at positions 338 to 795 of the family's 1533-position model. The record is from RNAcentral.
CCUACGGGUGGCAGCAGUGAGGAAUAUUGGUCAAUGGACGAGAGUCUGAACCAGCCAAGUAGCGUGAAGGAUGACUGCCCUAUGGGCUGUAAACUUCUUUUAUAUGGGAAUAAAACGUUCCUCGUGUGUGCUCUUGUAUGUACCAUAUGAAUAAGCAUAGGCUAACUCCGUGCCAGCAGCCGCGGUAAUAUGGAGGAUCCGAGCGUUAUUCGGAUUUAUUGGGUUUAAAGGGAGCGUAGGUGGGUGUUUAAGUCAGUUGUGAAAGUUUGCGGCUCAACCGUAAAAUGGCAGUUGAAACGGGCAGUCUGGAGUGCAGUAGAGGUGGGCGGAAUUCGUGGUGUAGCGGUGAAAUGCUUAGAUAUCACGAAGAACUCCAGUUGCGAAGGCAGUUCACUGGACUGCAACUGACACUGAGGCUCGAAAGUGUGGGUAGCAAACAGGAUUAGAUACCCCUGUAGUC